GAAAAUUGUCAACCACUCCUUCCUUAGGGGGUAAAAGCAACAUUCGGCACUAGGGGCAGGUCAAGGCGAGGCAGUCACGUGUUGGGCUCCUGGGCCAAUGGGGGACCCCGGGAGGACUCCGCACCCACCUCUCCCCAGCACCAGGCUCGCCUCUUUAGCUCUUAUAAGGCUGGCCCCCCAUCGCCAGGCGCAAGAAGCCACACCUGGACCAGACUCCAGGCGAGCCCCUCUCCAUGAAGGCAAACACAUACCUGGAAAAUGCCAUGAGACACUGACUCAGGUUAUCACUCUGAAAAUGAUGCCAUAUUGCAGGCACAACAGCACAUACCUGUAACCACAGCUACUCCGAAGGCUGAGGCGGGAGGAUUGCAAGUCCAAGGCCAGUCUUGGUGACAUAGUGAAAUACUGUCUCAAAACAAAAUUUUAAAAAAGGGCCUGGGAUGUAGCUCAGUGGUAGAGUGCUUGCCUAGCUUGUGCAAGGCCCUGGGUUCUAUUCUCAGAACCAAGAAAAAAUUAAUUAAAAAUAAAAAUAAUCCAUAAAUAAUCUGGGCUCCAAGGGGAGCCAUGAACAUGCAUUUUGGGCUGCCUGGAACCAGUCCCGAUCUGACACUUAGUAGCUAUGUGGCCAAGGGAGUGCUGUCAGCUCUGAGAGCCUCAGUGUCCUCAUCUGUAAGACGAGGGCAGGCAGAGUGGUGCCUAACUCUUAAGUGACUGUGAGUCAGGUGAAGAAACCAUGGCAAAGGGCGGAGCAUCCAGAGUCCCAGCGCUUCGCCAGUGGUGGCCGUGGCUAGGGUGGGCCCAAGGAGCUGGGUACAGAGGAAGACAGCUUGGGGACACUCUUUGGCAGCCUUUGCCCUCCCUGGGAGCCCAGGGUGACAGGAACUGCAGGAACGCUUGUCUCUAGGUCCCUCCCAGGACACCUCCCAGGGCUGAGCUCCUGGGACAUGGCCUAGGGGGUCUAGGGCAGCCUCGCCUGCCAGCCCUCUUCUUUCCCUGGCUUCCCCCCGCCCCCUGGUUUCGACCUCAAACUGCAUUCCCAGGGUUUGCUCCAAAGCCAGAGCACCCUUCCCUGGGGAGGAAGUGGGGAGCGUGUGAGGCUGCUGAACUCGGUGUGGGUGAUGGGCAGAGGACGCUCUGGGAACAGAGACCCAGGGCAGCUGUGCACAGAGGGGACAUGAGGAGGGGCCCAGACAGCAGCUCCACAGCCAGCUUCCACAUCUUGUCCCGACCGAGGGCUGCAGGCCUUCAUCUCUGCCUCCUUGCUGCUCUUCCUGCCUCUACCCUACAUGCGCUAAUAAACGGGCACUGCAGCCGUUUGUUCUGGCUUAUUUAUCACAAGCUUCAGAUUGCUGGCCCUUGACGUCCACCUCAUCUGGCCUUCACAAACAAGGCCCAGAGAAGUGAAGACCCUGAUCCUACAUCACACAGCCAGUUAAUUCUAGAGGUGUGAGCAGGGCAUGUCUUCUUCAUUCUUUCCAAAUCUGUGAUGGAAACUGGCCCUGGAGGCCAAGGCGAGCAGAGGCUGGAGAGCUCACACAUAUGUGUAGGAGUCGAGGCCAGGGUGGUGGCCAUGCGACCAGGUGUGAGCCUGGGCCUUAGGCUUGCUCAGAGCCCUGGCCUCUGUCCUCCCAGACUGCAGGCCAUCUGGCUCACAGAUGUGGCCCAUUCCCAUUCCCUCAUGUUUCUUGGAAACAAGCAAGGACAGAAGAGCCCACUAGGCUUUUGCAGUGACUGUAACAAUGUGAGCAUUGUCUCAGGGUCACCUGGCCAGCCACUGCCCAUGCUCAGGGGCAGCUGGACUGAGCACACAGAGCCUGGGUCCCAGUCUGCUCCGGCACUUCUCAGCAGGUGACCCUACCAGGCAAAGGCAGAUGCACAUCCUCUCUGACUCUGGGCGGGGUGCUCAGGUGACAGCUCCCCAGACCUCUGGGGAUUGGUUUUUGGACCCCAAAUGGCUCCUUUUUUUUUUAUUUUUUGGUACAGGGGAUCAAACUCCUUGAGGUCCUUGAGCUUGCACAGCAGGUGGCGAAACCACUGAGCUAAAUCCCUGGCUAAUGGCUCCUUAUAUACAAGCCCAGGGGGGAUUUCAUGCCAGACUGGUUCUUUAGUCAGGAACUUCUGCUGCUCUCGGAUCUAGAGUUUCUCUGAAGACCUCCUUGAGAGCCAAACUGGUAUAGCAGUGACAGUGGCUGCUCCGGCGUGAGGGUCCCCUUCCACAGGGCCUGGAAAAUCUCAGGGAGUUCUGGGCCAGCAGUGGCUGGGCCCCUCCUCGGUCUCUCCACGCCUGGCAGCCCCAUCUGGGUCCUCAGAGACCAGGGCCCUGGCCAGAGAGCAGCCCCGCAUCCCUCUGCCAGGCAGGAUCUCUGUCCCUUUCAGGGAAGGGCACCGGCUGGUGUUGGAGGAGCGGAAGCCCAGAGCAGGAACCUCCCAGGGAGGGAGUGGGCGGCAGGCAGCAGAACUGUGAGUGUCCCCCAGCUCCUCCACACACGCCUGCUUCAGGCAGCUCCCGGAGUAUCUGGGAACCUGGGGACCCCCCCCCCCAUGCUGACCCUCACCAGGCCUCAGAACAGCGAGGAAAAGGAAGGCCCAGGUUGAACGGUGGUAAUGUGGGCAAUUCUGGGCCUUUGCAGGCUGAGCAAUGAAACCAAAGAAAGGAGAACUGAUCAGGAGCUGAGAGUCUCUGCCUCCCCACAUUCCUGAUGAAAGACCCAUGCAAGCCUGUGUGAUGUGAUGAGUGAGCAGCUUGCAGAAGAUGGAGGGAACGGUAGCAAUCUUCCCUAGAAAGAGUGAAGAGAGCCAGACCCGGAGACAGGAGGCCCUGGGACAAAUCACAGCCUCUCUGAGCCUGCUGAAGGUGCCUGGGAGGAGGAGACCGUGCCCAUGGAACCAACGUGACCUCUGGGGUUUCUUCAUCACAACACCCUUUCCUGAGCCCUGAGCCUGUGCCAGGCCAGUUGAUGAGCUGAGGACAGCGAUGAAAGACCCAUUGCCCUUGCUCCUGUGGUUCAUAGGGGUCAGUCUCUGGGGACUGGGGCUUGGGCCCUGGGGCUUCCCUGGCUUUUGCAGGAGUGGCCCCAGCAAAAUCUCUUCUCCACAGGGAUUGGAUAUUUCCAUCCAGAGGAGCUGUAGCAAGAACCCAACCCGACCCUGACGUCAGACAGCCCCCAGUACCCAUCCUGCCCCACUCCCUUUCCAGCUGGAUCACUGUGGUCAAAUGACAGCAUCUUCACGCCUAUUUCCCCUUCUCCCAAACAGGGCUGCGAAAGCUCCCGCUUCAUAGGGCCAACAGGAUUGAUCAUCAUUGUCCAUACUCUCAUCGGACAGAGGGAAAAAUGAAAGCCCAGAGAAGAAAGGGGCUCAGACAGGGUCACAGCAGGAGUUGGGAGUUAAGUCAGAAGCAGAGCUUCCAGACAGAAGACAGAGGAUCCUGGGCUGGCUGGCGACAUUUCCUGAAGACUUGGGGCAAGGGAGGGGGAAAUGGCAGUCCCCUGGGGUCAGCCUUCCAGGCUGCCAGAAAGCCCUCCCUGAACCUCCAGGUAAAAGGUCCACCCGGCUCAGCCUCAUCCUUUCAUAGAAGGGGAAACAGAGAAAAGUGAAGAAAUAGUGGUGCCAACUGGCAACAGAACCUGGGACUCCAACCGACCACCUGUCUCAUCUUCUGACUGGGGACCCAGAGCACGAAAGAGCCUCCGUGGGGUAAGUGAGACAGGAGCUCUGUGGACCCCCUGCUCAGGGAGGCCCUCACUGGAAGGAGGCAGGGGUUGGGACAAGUGCCAUCGGCCAUCCAAGCAAGUAUGCAUGACCCAAAGGAAGCGUUCCAGGGGCUGAAGAGCCAGGAACAGUCCGCCCUCCACAUCUCUCCUUCCACCCCACCAACUGUGCACUUCCUCCUCCAAGGAGCCUUCCCAGCUCCCCCAGGGACAGGACCUCUUUGUCUUCCAAGCCUUUGUCAGUCCUUUCAUGAGCUCUCCUUGUCCUACUUGGCUCUGUGUCUAUCCCCAUUCCCUGCUCAGAGCAGUUUCUGGUUUUGGUUUGGUUUGGUUUGGUUGGUUGGCUUGUUGGUUGGUUGGUAUUAUGGAUCAAACCCAGGGCUUCCACACUGAGCUAUAUCUGCAGCUCUUUUUUAUUUUUAUUCUGAGACAGGGUCUUGCUAAUUUGCUAAGUUGCCCAGGCUGGGUUCAAACUUUCUAUCCUCCUCCCCCAAUCUCCCAGAGUGCGAGGAUUACAGGUGUGGGACAGGGCAUUUUGCUUCUACCUCAGCCUGACUACCAGGCUCAGCCCCAUCUCCCUGGGCACAGAAGAGGCACUUGGUUUGCUCAAUGACCAGGUGUAAUGAUAAGACCCUGUCCUAAACCCAAAGGACUGGGGAACUGGUCCGGGAGGAGAGACCCAGUGUGGAGGUUGAUGGAGGGGGUGUGGAAUUGUUUACUCUGAGCUAAGAAACCCAGCACAGCUCCUUGCUCUGUGGCCUCAGAAAACACCCCUGCAGUGGAGCCUUAAGGACGCACAGGGAUUGACACAAGAAACCAUUCGAGAAGUGGCCAUUUUGGUUCUAGUCAUCACCUGUGUGAUUGCUCUGGUACUGAGGAGCAGAACUAGGCAGCUCAGACCGCAGCCAUAGAGGAAUUACAGCUUCUGUCCAGUGUCACUUUCUCCUGGAGAAGCAUGGCCACCUCUGCUGCCCUGUUCCCACGGCAGAGUCAGCUGUCUGCUGUCUGUGCGCCCUUCACCCUCGAGGUGAGGUAGAAACGUCCUGAGCUCGCCUUGGAGGUGAUCACUGUCCUGCCUCACCUGCUAUUGGAUUCAGAUGCGAUGGGAUGGGGCAUUGUUUCCCAAACCCACCCCUUCAGACGCCUCCUUUUUUAUUUGUGCACACAAUCAUAGUAUUUAAAAAUAUAAGAUGAGUCCUCCAAGUACUUAAAUAGAAACAGUUAUGAUAAAAUGAAAACUAUAGCACAGUCCAAAGGUAGAAAUAAAUACAGUGAAAAUGAAACAACGUGGUUAGGCUUUAACCUAACAUGUGGCUUGCAGGAUCCUGAGCAGUAAGAGGGGUCAGGAAGGUGUCAGCCCACGCAGCAUGGAAAGCGAAGUGACACAGAACACCAGAGCCACUCUGUCCUCAAGUGACUCAGUGCUGAGACCACCGGCUCCCACACCUCAGGGGUCAAGCCGAGCACCUCCUCUCCCGGGUGCUGGAGCCAGGGGAGCGGCAUGCACAGGUCGUCCACCUGGCCAAUCGAGUCCAGGGUUAGAACUGCUGCCAAGCCAGGGCCAGUUUGAAAGGUUUCUUUUUCUCUCCUCCCCUCCCUCCCCCUCCCCCUUCUUCUCCUCUUCUUCCUCCUCUUUCUUCUUUUUCUUUUCUUUUUUUUUUGAAUGGUCCUGGGCAUUGAACCCAGGAUCUUCACACUAAGCU
Molecule: non-coding RNA, 5413 nt
Organism: Heterocephalus glaber (naked mole-rat)
Lineage: Eukaryota; Metazoa; Chordata; Mammalia; Rodentia; Bathyergidae
Source: RefSeq, a predicted model, not a curated record